This is an RNA transcript of Hyla sarda, 7506 nucleotides long. It is a transcript of the gene named zinc finger protein 883-like, with no coding region annotated. The transcript is spliced from 5 exons. Lineage: Eukaryota; Metazoa; Chordata; Amphibia; Anura; Hylidae. The record is from RefSeq and is a predicted model, not a curated record.
GGGUAUUAUGGAGGGGCACUUACUCUUUAUAUUUUCAACCCUCAGGAAAAACACAAACAAUCUGGAUUUUUUCUUCUGAAUUUGAUUGUUCCCAAAUAAUAUUCAACAUUUAUGUAUAAAAAACAGAUUUACUACAGAUAAAUAAGAGGAGAAAAGGUUUAUUAGUCACAGUCAUCUAUAAGACAAUGCGCGAACAACUUAUAAACGUUAUAUACUGCCGCCGGAGGCUCCGCCCCUCAGAGAUACAGAACGGGAUUGGUUGAGCUCACUAGACGUCUUGAGGGAAGUACCACUACACAGCCCUGGAAGAGUGGUGGAACGCACACCCGGAAGUAAAUGUCAGACGUCAGGGAGUACUUCCGGUCCAGGCCUUUUGACACAAAGAAGAGAAAGAAGAAGAGAGAUGAUGGGUUGUGAGCGUUAUAUCAGGAAGUGACCAGACGUGGGCUGAGCGAACCACAAGUACCAGAUGUCGUCCCCAGUCUGGAGGAGCUCUGGCCUCAGAUACUCUGAUGCUCCAAACCAGGACCGAGGGGCUCAAUACAAACUGUAUGAAGAUGCAUGAACGAAACCUGCCGACUCCUGGCAUCAUCUGAUAAGACCAGCAGUGUCUUCACACAUGAGGAUUCCAGGCUAAAUAAAAAAUCCACCGCAAAAUGUGAACCAGAUUUGGUAAAUACCGAGAACAUGGCUGAACAUGCAACUUUGCCUGAAGAAGAGCAGCUCCAAAGCGUUAAGGCCCAUUCAUCGGAUAACGUAAAGGAAGAAUCCUCUCACGUUGGGGAGGAAGAUGCACUUUGGGAUUUCAAUAGUCCUAAAGCUGGUAAUGUUCCUAGACCAAAACGCCAUACACAACCACAUCCUUCUACUCAUAUUAAGGAGGAACCAGAUUCAUGGGAGGAUGGACAUCUUAAAGACACUAAUAUGUAUAUACAAUAUUCCUCUACUAUAAAAGAUGAACCGGUCUUGUGUUGUGAAGGAAACUUCAUAGACCUCAACACGUCUAUAGCCGCAGAUACUUGUUAUCAGUCUGCUUAUAUAAAGAAGGAAACAGUCUCAUGUAAUGGAGGAACCAUCUUAGACCCUGAACUCUCAGAUCAUACGGAUCAAUAUCCAUCUACUGAUGUUAAGGAGGAACCACCCUACUGGGAAGAAGGAAAGCUUUCAAAUACUGGUGAUACAGAGCAAUAUCCAUCAAAUGUUAAGGAGAAAACAACCUUAGGUGUAGGAGAAAACCUCUCAGACCACCUGACUUGUUCUCCAGACCUUACACUAGAAUAUUCACCAACUCAUAUCAAGGAGGAAUCAGUAUUAUGUGAUGGAAGCAGUCUGAUGGAAAAUGAGAUCUAUGCUUUUACAUAUACCGGAGAGAACAUGGAAGAUACCGUAUUUACCAAGAAUUCCCCACAGCUGGUGCAAGGCAGCAAGUACAUCAAGUUCACAUCUCCAUCCCCCCAACCUGCUAAGACAGGGUACACAUGCCCGGUGUGCCAAAGAAGCUUUAAAAAUCAUGGGAAUCUUGUCAAGCAUCGAGAAGCACACAACGGAAAGAAGCCGACAUGUUCUAUUUGUUGGGAACAAUUUCUCUCCCAGUCGGACCUCAUGAGGCACCAGAUCCAAUCCCACAAUGUUGAUAAAUCAACCAAAGUGAGAAAAUCUAAUUGCUUAAAGUGUGGGGCUAAGUUUUCCCUUAAGUCAGACCUGUUGGAACAUAGGAAGGUCCACAAAAUUGAAAAACGCCUUUAUUGCUCCCAAUGCAACAAACAGUUUUCUUGUAAUUCUCAACUUGUCAUACACCAACGAAUUCACACCGGAGAGAAACCUUUCACGUGUUCUGAGUGUGGAAAACAGUUCUCCAACAAGUCAGAUCAUGCGGAGCAUAUAAGGAUCCACAUGGGAAGUAAACCAUUUUCUUGCUCAGACUGUGGAAAGUGCUUCCACAGAAAGGAUGACCUCACCAGCCACCAGCAGAAACACGGGGGCGAUAAGACUUUGACGUGUUCUGACUGCAGGAAAUGUUUUGUCAAUGAGAACAAAUUAUUGAUACAUCAGAGAUUUCACGACCUAAAAAAACACUUUUCAUGUUCUAUCUGUGGGAAAAGCUUUACCAACAAUGAUGUUCUUCUCAGACACCAGCGUUGUCAUGCAGACAAAAACCCGUAUAUCUGUGGUGACUGCGGCAAAAGUUUUAUCCAACACGAGGAACUUGUGAAGCAUCAGAGAAUUCACACCUAAAAAAACACUUUUCCUGUUGUGCCUGUGGGAAAAGCUUCACCCACAAUGCUGUUUUUCUUAGACACCAGCGUUGUCAAGCUGAUGGAAACCAGUUUAUCUGUGGUGACUGCGGCAAGAGUUUUAUCCAACACGAGGAACUUGUGAAGCAUCAGAAAAGUCACACAGGAGAGAAACCAUUCUCGUGUUCUGAUUGUGAUAAGUCCUUUAGUACAGAGUCUGGACUUAUAAACCAGAAAAAGAUUCAUACCAACGAAAAGCCAUUUGGGUGCUCAGACAGAAAAACCAUCUGAUCACUAACCAAAGAGUCCACACCGGGGAGAAGCCAUACACUUGUCCUGACUGCGGGAAAGGAUUUAAAACGAAGUUAAACUAUAAUAUGCACCGGAAAAUCCACACAGUCAGGAGGCAGCUCUCCUGCAUACAGUGUGGUGAACACUUUCCUUAUAAAAGUCAAUUGAAGGAGCAUUUAAAGAGCCAUGACACAGGAAUGACCGACAUUAUCACAGAUGUCAUAUAUUCAUAGUAUUAAUGUAUAUGAAGCAUAAGAAAUGUCUAGUUAGCUGGUACCUAGAGAUGAGGUUCUGAGUUAGAAACUGACAGCAGUAAGGAUCCCGGACGAGCCCCCAAUAACUAUUAUAGUAAUAUUUGGCCAUGAGCCCUGAAACUAAGGACCUCACUUUAUUGUAUGUGUGCCUCUAAUUCUGGGGGAAGGGGAGAAAUAUAAUGGCCAUGAAGACCCCCACACACUAAGGAGUUUGUGUUCUGUCUUCACGGCCGUUAUAAUUCUUCUUAUUAAACCCAGAAGGGCUCAAAAUAUUGGAGGCACACAGACAAUGAGGGGAGAUCCAUGGUUUUAGGGAUCAUGACCAAAUAUUACCAGAAUAGAAAAACGAACACAUACGCUAUAUUGCUGCAACCAAUCUUCUUUCUUUAUAUAAAUAUUCCAUAAAUGUUACAAACAAAUCCAACAGUAAAUAAUCACCCAACGUGUUUCAAGUCCGUCCGCAAGAUGUUAACAGGAGACAUAUACGGCUUCUCAAGCUUCCAUGUUCAACUGCAUCAGCACUCUUAUUCAGACGUUUCCAAUGGAGCAGCACUAUAGCGUAUGUGUUUGUUUUUCUAUUGAGAUUAUACUGUGUUUAUAGAGCACCAGCCACUAUGCUUUCACCCAAACACCACUGUUGUGGUUCGUGGCUUUGGGGUAGAAUUAGAUCUGGCUCCAAAGGUUAUACAACCAGUUAAAUAUAUGCAGACCAUGCAUCUGAGGUCAUCAAUGGCUGAGACACAAAAUGGCUGCCACCAUGUGGUCAAGUGAAUACAAUAUAUUCACAGACCAGGUGCAUAGACUUAAUUUAGCAGUAUUACUGGAGACCAAAUGCAUUCAUAGCACCCCACAGACCAACCUAUUUGUUAGGAAUUUUGGAAGAGUUAUAUCCUAAUAUGCAAUGCACAAAUUACCGUAUUUUUCGUCCUAUAGGACGCACCGGCGUAUAAGACGCACCCAAUUUUUAGGGGCAAAAUCUAAAAAAAUAAAGAUUUUGAACCCAAUAGUGGUCCGCAGAUUGAAGACCACUGCAGGAGGAGGUAAUACUCACGUGUCCCCGCCGCUCCGGACCCGUCACCGCUGCCCUGGAUGUCGCUCCAUCGCUGUCGCCGUGUCCCCGUCGCUCCGGAUCGUCUCUGCUGCCGGCCGGGUAUCCUCGCUCUCCGUCGCCGCCAUCACGUCGUUACGCACGCCGACGCACGUACACGACGACGUGAUGACGAGGAAGGAGAGCGCCGGCCAUACAGGGGAUCCCUGAACGGAGAAGACACCGAGGAGGCAGGUAAGGUCCCUCCCGGUGUCCUGUAAGCACUAACCCGGCUAUUCAAUCGGGCUGUUCGGGACCGCAGCGGUGAGAUCGCGGCGGUCCCGAACAGCCCGACUGAACAGCCGGGUUAGUGUCACUUUCCCUUCAGACGCGGCGGUCAGCUUUGAUCGCCGCGUCUGAAGGGUUAAUACAGGGCAUCGCCGCGAUCGGUGAUGUCCUGUAUUAGCCGCGGGUCCCGGCCGUUGAUGCCCCCGCAAUGACCGCCGCGAUAGGGGUGUAUUCACCGUAUAAGACGCACCGACUUUUUCCCCCCCAAGAAAAAUUGCGUCUUAUACAGCGAAAAAUAUGGUAACUAAACACACUCUAACUAAGAGAGAAAAAGAUAAUACUAAUAGCUAGAAACUUAAAUCUGCAGUGUAAGGAAACAUAUACAAGAAUUAUAGCAGAAGACACUAUCUGUUGGCUAUUUGGGUGGAUUUUCCUUAAUUUGUACAACUAUUAUAUAUAUAAAACACACAAAUAAUGUAACUGAAAAUACUCAGCUUCGGGGCACCCUUAUGGCAAGUAUGAAAAUGGAGCAGAGGCAGUGGACAAGUAUCUGCAUUCCUUCUGUUGAUCAAUGGCUUCCACCAGGAAUUUGAUUGGAAGGUGUGAUGGUAUGCUGUCCCGGGAGAGAAAGAGACCCUCAUUCUCCUUGCAAAGCCUUUUAUGUUGUUUUAUCCGCCCCUUAUCCAGCUCACAGGUGGUCUUUGACUAUUGUUACAAAAGGCCCCUGUUUACAUGCCUAGGAGACCGUCUCAAAGAAAAGCCUCCAACUUGCCUUUGUCUAACUAAAUCCAUGUGGCUUUCUGGUAGAGGAUCAUAAAAUAGCCAUAACAACCACAUAUCCCACAUUAUGUUCCGAAGGACUGUCAAAUAUUACCAGAACACAGCCAUGACGUGGACGAAACACACAUUACAGUAUUAAUGACUUUGUACUUUAUGUAUAUAUUAAAUGUUUCACAGCAUACGGCCAACAAAUGACAUGUCUCCAGUAUUUUAUGGCUCGUCAGUCUUUCAAGGUGACCCUGUUGAUUGGUUUUAUAUAAAAAUAUUGUACUUACCUAGCCCUAGUCCCCUGCUCUUCUCUCCUUUUCCAAGGCAAGUACUGGGUGAAGGGCCUGCCCACCCAGCCAAUUAUCGUCUGUCAUUGGACACCACUGUGGGGCAGUGAUUGGCUGAUGGUUCUACUCCAAAGAUUGAAGAGAAAAAAAUGAUAGGACUGUGCUGCGGGGUACAAGGGCUAGGCGAGUGUGUUUUUUUCCCCUGCCCUAGCACCAUAUAGCGGCUAAGAGGGAGAGAGACCACGUGGAGUCAGAAUACACUGGGCAGUCACAAAAUACAUCAAGAAGUCCUAUUGGAAUUGACGGGCAAAAUACGUAAUGAUUUCAUACAAUCAGGUUUAUUAUUAGAUUUUAUAGGACAGGACACUGGUGCAGCUUCCACUUGUGCAGCUAAUAUCCCUCACCAAUCUCUAUAGAGAACAUGUGCACUCUGUUACAUCUUAAAGGAGUAGUCUCAUGAAAAAAAAAUCCCCUAUCCUGCUGGGGUCCGAGCGCUAGUGCCCCAUCACUCCCCUGGGGCAGCGCGUCACAACCCUUGCCUUAAGAGGGGGCAGCCACCCCCUAUGUAUCUUUAUGGGAGAGCUGUUCAGAUGGAGAUAAUAUAACUCCUUUAAAGGUGCGGUCACAUCAGUUAGGGUGACAACCUCUCAUUAUAUGAGUCCAACAUUGUAGAGUCCAAGUCCGGCACUGCUUCUAAUGCUCACGUCCACUGGCUAGAUGGUAACUGCUACACCUAUGGGACGCUGAUGGAGGUGCUUGUCCUUAAAGUUUAGUCAUAGUAACAUAGUUCAUAAGGUUGAAAAAAGACCAGAGUCCAUCAAGUAUCCCUAAUGAGUCCCUACUGAGUUGAUCCAGAGGAAGGCAAAAAACCCUCCAGUUUGACAGGACCGAUCCCUCAUAAAGCCAUGCUGAUAUGGAGUCAUACAUUUUUUUAUCAAUAUACUCCAAAACACCAUCUCUUAGAAAACCCUCAAACAAUUUACAUACAAUGGAGGUUAAACUAACAGGUCUAUAAUUCUCGGGGGCACCUUUUGACCCCUUUUUAAAUAUUGGCACCACAUUUGCCAUGAGCCAGUCCUGGGGAACAGUCCCUGUCACUACAGAGUCCCUGAAUAUUAAAAAUAGGGGUCUGUCUAUUACUUUACUUAUUUCCCUUAGAACACGGGGUGAAUGCCAUCUGGACCGGGUAAUUUGUCUAUUUUGAUUUUUUGUUGGCAGCACUGUACUUCUUCCUGGGUUAGACAGGUGACCAGUACUUCUUCCUGGGUUAGACAGGUGACCUGUACUUCUUCCUGGGUUAGACAGGUGACCAGUACUUCUUCCUGGGUUAGACAGGUGACCUGUACUUCUUCCUGGGUUAGACAGGUGACCUGUACUUCUUCCUGGGUUAGACAGGUGACCUGUACUUCUUCCUGGGUUAGACAGGUGACCUGUACUGGGGAGUUUACCUUAUCUCGCUGUAUUUCACAUGGCAUUCCUCGGUGAAUACAGUGGAGAAGAAUUUGUUUAAUAUAUUUGCUUUUUCCUGAUCCCCAUUUAUAAUUUCUUCCUCAUCAUUUUUUAAAGGGUCAACUCUUUCAUUUUUGAUCUUUUUGCUAUUUAUAUAGUUAAAGAACAUUUUGGGAUUAGUUUUACUCUCUUUGGCAAUGAGUCUUUCUGUGUCUAUUUUUGCGGCAUUUAUCUGUUUUUUACAUAUUUUACAUUUUUCUCAAUAGCUUUUUAAUGCUUCUUCACUGCCUUCAGCCUAUUAUGGACCGAGGCAGAACAUCGCGGCGGCUGGCGAUAGGCUGAGCGCCAUGUGACGCUUCGUUCACAUGGAAGUAUGAAGAAGAUGGAACGGAGGACCGAUCAGCUGUAGUGGUGCGCCGCAGGAACCCAGGAACGUGAGUGAUGGUUUAUUUUCAUUUUUUUGCAGCCCGGGCAGAACGGAGCAGGAGUAGUCUGCCCCAGAGUACUCCUUUAAGUCCAGUAGGCUGCCCCCUCUGGUCAGGUCUGUUAGUUAAUAUUAAAUCUAGUAGGGCGCCCCCUCUGGUCAGGUCUGUUUGUUAAUAUUAAGUCUAGUAGGGCGCCCCCUCUGGUCAGGUCUGUAAGUUAAUAUUAAGUCUAGUAGGGCGCCCCCUCUGGUCAGGUCUGUUAAUAUUAAGUUUAGUAGGGCGCCCCCUCUGGUCAGGUCCAUUGGUUAAUAUUAAAUCUGGUAAGGCGCCCCCUCUGGUCAGGUCUGUUUGUUAAUAUUAAGUCUAGUAGGGCGCCCCCUCUGGUCAGGUCUGUUUGUUAAUAUUAAGUCUAGUAGGGCGCCCCCUCUGGUCAGGUCCGUUGGUUAGUAUUAAGUCUAGUAGGGCGCCCCCUCUGGUCAGGUC